CCUACGGGAGGCAGCAGUGGGGAAUAUUGCACAAUGGGGGAAACCCUGAUGCAGCGACGCCGCGUGAGUGAAGAAGUAUUUCGGCAUGUAAAGCUCUGUCAGCAGGGAAGAAAAUGACGGUACCUGACCAAGAAGCCCCGGCUAACUACGUGCCAGCAGCCGCGGUAAUACGUAGGGGGCAAGCGUUAUCCGGAUUUACUGGGCGUAAAGGGCGCGUAGACGGCAGGGCAAGUCUGGAGUGAAAGCCGGGGGCUGAACCCCCGGACUGCUGUGGAAACUGCCAGGCUGGAGUGCAGGAGAGGUAAGUGGAAUUCCUGGUGUAGCGGUGAAAUGCGUAGAUAUUAGGAGGAACA
This 353-nucleotide ribosomal RNA is filed under the name uncultured bacterium. RNAcentral describes it as "partial 16S ribosomal RNA". It matches the Rfam family "Bacterial small subunit ribosomal RNA", at positions 338 to 708 of the family's 1533-position model. The record is from RNAcentral.